Long non-coding RNA from Acinonyx jubatus (cheetah), 1765 nucleotides. RefSeq lists it as uncharacterized. NCBI's taxonomy places the organism in Eukaryota, Metazoa, Chordata, Mammalia, Carnivora, Felidae. The transcript is spliced from 8 exons. The record is from RefSeq and is a predicted model, not a curated record.
AAUCACCUGGGUGGACGUAGUAGGUCUUGGGUGGGGCUAAGAGUCUGCAUUUCUGACAGGCUCCCAGGUGAGACCAAGGCUAGAGGCCACAUGGAUAAUAUGUGGGUGUGACUGCAUCAUGGCAGUUUCCCUUGGCACUCAGUGAACUUCAGACCAUAGUUCUUGAAGUGUCUUUCUAGACCCAAUACAUAUACUCGUCUGAACUGCUCUGUUUAUUCAGAAAAGGAACUUGUUUCCACACGACUCAUGCUUCAUUUUGGGGUAGUGGUGACAGUAUGCUGGAGGAGAUACACCUGAAAUGCAAUUUCGUAUUUUGAUGAAGCGUAAAACAUCUUUCUUAUUUUAUCCUCCUGGCCCCCCUUUUCCUUUUAUUCUCCUCUAUCCAGUGGCUUAAUAAACUGCUUAUUUUUGGUUUGUUUGUUUUUUACAGAGAUUCAAGUCCUUUGGGUAGGGAUGCUAUCUCCUGAGCAAUACACCAACCGUGCUCUCAAAGGAUAAAGGUCGGGCAUGACCUGUGUCAUGGUGGACUAAGACAAAGGGAAUGUCGUUUAAACCCAUGCAUUUAAGGAGUGAACCUGCCUUAGCCCUUAAGAUGAAUCCCCACUGAGAUGACUUCUGGAGCCAGUGAUGGAGAACAUCUUUCAAUACCAGAGAGGUUGUUUUUUCUCUCCUCCUGGUACUUUUCCCAUGAGAAGUUAAGUGCCCUUUGCAGUUUGAUGUUUCUGAGUAAGCCUGUCUCCCAUAUCCUGCACUGGGCUGCAUAUACUCACAGCACGUAAAAGUUGAACCAGUGUUUAUAGUAUCAAAGAAAUACCUAAAAGGAAGAAAGACAAACAGAACACCUGGACUCUUGAGGGCAUCUGGAAUUAAUACGGAAUUUGUUCCUGGUCAGUGCAUACAGUGUUGUUGCUGUGUUCUAGAAGGCAAGCCUGAGAGAACUGAAUUUUAGGAUAAAUGCAUGUACUGAUGAAUCAGAAAUAAGUGAAGAACUAGAAGAGAGAUGUAAUAGUAAAAAGAUCACUGAGAGAAAGAACAAUGGGAAUUUUAUUGCGCAACUGUGUGAGCUACUUCAAAGGAUGCUAUAUUUCAAAGGUCAACUAAGAGGAUAAGUAGAGGAAUAGAAGAGAAACGAAGGCGACUGGGAGGCAUGUUGGAAGAGAGGUAUUUUGGAAAGUCACCGUGCUAGGUACUACUGAUUGGAGUGAAACAAAUGUGGCAUUUUUGCAGCACAUAUGACUACUUUGUAAUAUUUGAGGGCACAAACUUCAUUCAAGAGAGACUGAUUCAACAUGUCUCAUGUAACAGGCAUUGUGUAACAAGAAAAAAGAAGACUGGCUUUGCUAGCUGAUGGCCCACAGCUGACAUUGGUCUAGCAGCACAUUGCAGGAACUGCCAAAGUCAGGCCUAAGAUGAAGGAAGAAUUGGCUAUCCCAAUUCCCAGUAUGCUGCCCGAAACCAUUGAAAGGGAGGGCAGCACAAGUGACUUACUAGCAUAGAUGCCUGAAGCAAGUGGAUUGGAUGAGCUGAAGAAGAGUCCAUGUGUCCACCAGGAGCUAUAACAAGGAUGAGCCAAUCCACGUGGCUGGAUCCUUUGUUCCUUGAGAACUGGAAAAUCAGGGAAAUCUCAAAAUUCUGUACCAUAUACUACGUUAAACAGGAGUAGAAGUAAACAUUUAUUCCUGAUACAGGAAAAACUUUUAACUUUUCACCACUGAGUAUGAUGUUAGCUGUGGGCUUGUCAGAUAUGGCAUUUCCUACAUUGAGG